CCUACGGGUGGCAGCAGUGAGGAAUAUUGGGCAAUGGGGGCAACCCUGACCCAGCCAUGCCGCGUGAGUGAAGAAGGUCUUCGGAUUGUAAAGCUCUUUCGGACGUGACGAUGAUGACGGUAGCGUCUAAAGACGCAUCGGCUAACUCCGUUCCAGCAGCCACGGUAAUACGGGGGAUGCAAGCGUUAUCCGGAUUGACUGGGUUUAAAGGGUGCGUAGGCUGUGAGGUAAGUCAGCGGGGAAAUGCCCCCGCUCAACGGGGUGAAGUGCCAUUGAUACUGCCGUGCUGGAGUGCGGAUGCGGUGGGAGGAAUGUGUGGUGUAGCGGUGAAAUGCAUAGAGAUCACACAGAACACCGAUUGCGAAGGCAUCUCACGAAGCUGCGAUUGACGCUGAUGCACGAAAGCGUGGGUAUCAAACAGGAUUAGAUACCCGGGUAGUC
Molecule: ribosomal RNA, 441 nt
Filed under: uncultured bacterium
Lineage: Bacteria
Description: partial 16S ribosomal RNA
Rfam family: Bacterial small subunit ribosomal RNA
Source: RNAcentral